Pomacea canaliculata is the source of this 1175-nucleotide long non-coding RNA. RefSeq lists it as uncharacterized. NCBI's taxonomy places the organism in Eukaryota, Metazoa, Mollusca, Gastropoda, Architaenioglossa, Ampullariidae. The record is from RefSeq and is a predicted model, not a curated record. The transcript is spliced from 3 exons.
GUAAAAAUGUUAGGAAAACGCAGAAUGGCAGAUUCUCUUCUUCUAGUCAUGGUGGGCUCAAGCCUCCGGUAGCCUGAAGGUUUCCCAGGGUUGUGUUGUGUUUACCCCUCGUCAUGACCACAACCAAUGAUGGAGAUUCCAGUAUAUGCUAAUCCGUGUCUGUUCACGAACAGACAUUAAGGCAAGAGCCGUGUGGUUUCUGUUCUUGACUUCGACUUUGAAAAUUGCUGGCCAGGAAUGGGAAACCACUACGUGAAAGUCAAGAGCACCUGUCCAAAUAUUUACAUUGUGACCUUCAACCAAUCGGACAUCUUGUAUUGGAACUACAGGGAAUUGCGCCACGUGCCUCUGGACGGGGAAGUCGAAGUGUCAGGAAUCUGUGCAGGCGGGUAUGUCAAAGUAGGUGUGAUCUACUCCAUUUCGCCAACGAGCCAGAUGUGCUGCUAUGACCUCUUCCGAGUGUAUCACGGUGGUGAAUUGACUAUUAAGAGUGUGUCGCACGAUAAAGGCGUUGUCAAGUGGAAAUUCAAAUCCGGGACCUGGGGCGAUCUGCUGGCUAAGGGGCGAACAAUACGAGUGAAUGCUGGACUCUUACCGAAUAUAACGAUUAAUAGUUUCUCGGCGCGGCGCAGACAUGGAAGUGAAGACGCCCACUCCAUUGAAGAAAGCAGGCGACUCUGAGGGACGAACACGCUGCCGUUCCUACCGCUCUGACCUUUUGAACUCAUAUAAUUAAGCAAAUCAUAUAUACGCGUCAUUCUCAAACAGUUUUGAGAAGGGUUGUGCUCAAAAGACAAUUUACUUGGUAAACUACAGCACUGUGAUUUGCUUUGUUGUUAGGAUUCUGCUUUUUUGUGGGGAAGGGGUGGAGUAAUCUGAAUUUUUCUGUGUUUCAAUUAGGUGGCAAUUUUAGCGGGAAAAUACAGUGUCUAUGGAGAUCCUGAACCAGGAGAUAUUUGAUCACUCUUUUGAGUAAAUAAGUGAUCUCGUCCAAUUUGAACAUGAACCUAUUUUUGUUGUGCUGUCUAUCCAUGGAGAAACCUUUAACCAGGAAGCAUGCCCGUAGGCUUCACAAUUCUAAAACAAAUGAUUUUAGUUCCUAUGUAGAACAUAAACAAGAUAUUAAAAAUUUGCAAUAAAAUUUUCAUACAUAAGAAAUACAAAUAGCUAUUUGU